This 497-nucleotide ribosomal RNA is filed under the name uncultured bacterium. RNAcentral describes it as "partial 16S ribosomal RNA". It matches the Rfam family "Bacterial small subunit ribosomal RNA", at positions 28 to 507 of the family's 1533-position model. The record is from RNAcentral.
GAUGAACGCUGGCGGCGUGCCUAAUACAUGCAAGUCGAGCGAACGGACGAGAAGCUUGCUUCUCUGAUGUUAGCGGCGGACGGGUGAGUAACACGUGGAUAACCUACCUAUAAGACUGGGAUAACUUCGGGAAACCGGAGCUAAUACCGGAUAAUAUCUUGAACCGCAUGGUUCAAAAGUAAAAGACGGUCUUGCUGUCACUUAUAGAUGGAUCCGCGCUGCAUUAGCUAGUUGGUAAGGUAACGGCUUACCAAGGCAACGAUGCAUAGCCGACGUGCGAGAGGGAUCGGCCACCCUAGAACUUGGACGGGGACCAGACUCCUGCGGGAGGCAGCAGAAUGGUAUCUGACGCAAUAGGCGGAAGCAUUGCAGAGCAAGCGGACGUGAGUGGUAGAAAUCUUGGGUUCGGAAUACUCUGUUAUUAGGGGAGAACAUAUGUGUAAGUAACUGUGCACAUAUUGACGGUACCUAGUCAGAAAGCCACGGCUAACUACGUG